This 777-nucleotide ribosomal RNA is filed under the name uncultured Neocallimastigales. RNAcentral's name for it is "partial large subunit ribosomal RNA". It matches the Rfam family "Eukaryotic large subunit ribosomal RNA", at positions 23 to 606 of the family's 3401-position model. Lineage: Eukaryota; Fungi; Neocallimastigomycota; Neocallimastigomycetes; Neocallimastigales. The record is from RNAcentral.
AGAGAGAGACAUGCGCGCAUAUCAAUAAGCGGAGGAAAAGAAACUAACUAGGAUUCCCUUAGUAACGGCGAGUGAAGCGGGAAGAGCUCAAAUUUGAAAUCUUCAAGGUUUUACCUUGACGAAUUGUAGUUUAAAGAAGUGUUUUCUGCUGAAGUUUUGGUAAAAGUUCUUUGGAAUAGGACAUCAUAGAGGGUGAGAAUCCCGUAUUUGACCAUUAUUUUCAGCUUUGUGAUACACUUUCAAAGAGUCGGAUUGUUUGGGAAUGCAGUCCAAAAUGGGUGGUAAAUUUCAUCUAAAGCUAAAUAUUGGCGAGAGACCGAUAGCGAACAAGUACCGUGAGGGAAAGAUGAAAAGAACUUUGAAAAGAGAGUUAAACAGUACGUGAAAUUGUCAAAAGGGAAGCGUUUGACACCAGUGUUGUUUUCUCGAAAAUCAAUUAAAAAUGGCUCGAUUUUGUAUUGUUGAGACCUUAAAAAGCUCACUGUACAUUUUUCGUGUCUUUUUUAAUGCACUUUUCGUUUAACAAGUCAACAUCAGUUUCUUUUGUUGUAAAAGGGUCAUUGGAAGGUGGCUUUCUUUUCGGAGAAAGUGUUUAUAGCCUUUGGCCUCUGCAAUCGGAAGAGACUGAGGUCUGCAGCGUAGACUCUUCGGGGUUAGAUACAUUUGUGCUAAGUUAUAGCUUUUUAUAGACAACUUGUUGACUAUAAUUAGUCUUGUAGCUUACUCGCUUAUGCUAUUUUACCUACGCUUAGGAUGUUGAGUCGUAGAGCACGCAGC